UAAGUAGUAAAAAGUAGAAUAAUAGAUUUGAAAUAUUUAUUAUAUAGAUUUAAAGAGAUAAUCAUGGAGUAUAAUAAUUAAAUUUAAUAAAUUUAAUAUAACUAUUAAUAGAAUUAGGUUACUAAUAAAUUAAUAACAAUUAAUUUUAAAACCUAAAGGUAAACCUUUAUAUUAAUAAUGUUUUUUUUUAUUAUUUUUAUAAUAAGAAUAAUUAUUAAUAAUAAUAAACUAAGUGAACUGAAACAUCUAAGUAACUUAAGGAUAAGAAAUCAACAGAGAUAUUAUGAGUAUUGGUGAGAGAAAAUAAUAAAGGUCUAAUAAGUAUUAUGUGAAAAAAAUGUAAGAAAAUAGGAUAACAAAUUCUAAGACUAAAUACUAUUAAUAAGUAUAGUAAGUACCGUAAGGGAAAGUAUGAAAAUGAUUAUUUUAUAAGCAAUCAUGAAUAUAUUAUAUUAUAUUAAUGAUGUACCUUUUGUAUAAUGGGUCAGCAAGUAAUUAAUAUUAGUAAAACAAUAAGUUAUAAAUAAAUAGAAUAAUAUAUAUAUAUAUAAAAAUAUAUUAAAAUAUUUAAUUAAUAUUAAUUGACCCGAAAGCAAACGAUCUAACUAUGAUAAGAUGGAUAAACGAUCGAACAGGUUGAUGUUGCAAUAUCAUCUGAUUAAUUGUGGUUAGUAGUGAAAGACAAAUCUGGUUUGCAGAUAGCUGGUUUUCUAUGAAAUAUAUGUAAGUAUAGCCUUUAUAAAUAAUAAUUAUUAUAUAAUAUUAUAUUAAUAUUAUAUAAAGAAUGGUACAGCAAUUAAUAUAUAUUAGGGAACUAUUAAAGUUUUAUUAAUAAUAUUAAAUCUCGAAAUAUUUAAUUAUAUAUAAUAAAGAGUCAGAUUAUGUGCGAUAAGGUAAAUAAUCUAAAGGGAAACAGCCCAGAUUAAGAUAUAAAGUUCCUAAUAAAUAAUAAGUGAAAUAAAUAUUAAAAUAUUAUAAUAUAAUCAGUUAAUGGGUUUGACAAUAACCAUUUUUUAAUGAACAUGUAACAAUGCACUGAUUUAUAAUAAAUAAAAAAAUAAUAUUUAAAAUCAAAUAUAUAUAUAUUUGUUAAUAGAUAAUAUACGGAUCUUAAUAAUAAGAAUUAUUUAAUUCCUAAUAUGGAAUAUUAUAUUUUUAUAAUAAAAAUAUAAAUACUGAAUAUCUAAAUAUUAUUAUUACUUUUUUUUUUAAUAAUAAUAAUAUGGUAAUAGAACAUUUAAUGAUAAUAUAUAUUAGUUAUUAAUUAAUAUAUGUAUUAAUUAAAUAGAGAAUGCUGACAUGAGUAACGAAAAAAAGGUAUAAACCUUUUCACCUAAAACAUAAGGUUUAACUAUAAAAGUACGGCCCCUAAUUAAAUUAAUAAGAAUAUAAAUAUAUUUAAGAUGGGAUAAUCUAUAUUAAUAAAAAUUUAUCUUAAAAUAUAUAUAUUAUUAAUAAUUAUAUUAAUAAUAUAUAUANNNNNNNNNNUAAUAUAUAUAAUUAUAUUAUAUAUUAUAUAUUUUUUUUUAUAUAAUAUAAACUAAUAAAGAUCAGGAAAUAAUUAAUGUAUACCGUAAUGUAGACCGACUCAGGUAUGUAAGUAGAGAAUAUGAAGGUGAAUUAGAUAAUUAAAGGGAAGGAACUCGGCAAAGAUAGCUCAUAAGUUAGUCAAUAAAGAGUAAUAAGAACAAAGUUGUACAACUGUUUACUAAAAACACCGCACUUUGCAGAAACGAUAAGUUUAAGUAUAAGGUGUGAACUCUGCUCCAUGCUUAAUAUAUAAAUAAAAUUAUUUAACGAUAAUUUUAUUAAAUUUAGGUAAAUAGCAGCCUUAUUAUGAGGGUUAUAAUGUAGCGAAAUUCCUUGGCCUAUAAUUGAGGUCCCGCAUGAAUGACGUAAUGAUACAACAACUGUCUCCCCUUUAAGCUAAGUGAAAUUGAAAUCGUAGUGAAGAUGCUAUGUACCUUCAGCAAGACGGAAAGACCCUAUGCAGCUUUACUGUAAUUAGAUAGAUCGAAUUAUUGUUUAUUAUAUUCAGCAUAUUAAGUAAUCCUAUUAUUAGGUAAUCGUUUAGAUAUUAAUGAGAUACUUAUUAUAAUAUAAUGAUAAUUCUAAUCUUAUAAAUAAUUAUUAUUAUUAUUAUUAAUAAUAAUAAUAUGCUUUCAAGCAUAGUGAUAAAACAUAUUUAUAUGAUAAUCACUUUACUUAAUAGAUAUAAUUCUUAAGUAAUAUAUAAUAUAUAUUAUAUAUAUAUUAUAUAUAAUAUAAGAGACAAUCUCUAAUUGGUAGUUUUGAUGGGGCGUCAUUAUCAGCAAAAGUAUCUGAAUAAGUCCAUAAAUAAAUAUAUAAAAUUAUUGAAUAAAAAAAAUAAUAUAUAUUAUAUAUAUUAAUUAUAAAUUGAAAUAUGUUUAUAUAAAUUUAUAUUUAUUGAAUAUAUUUUAGUAAUAGAUAAAAAUAUGUACAGUAAAAUUGUAAGGAAAACAAUAAUAACUUUCUCCUCUCUCGGUGGGGGUUCACACCUAUUUUUAAUAGGUGUUCACCCCUCUUCGGGGUUCCGGUUCCCUUUCGGGUCCCGGAACUUAAAAAUAAUUAUGGAAAGAAUUAAAUUAAUAUAAUGGUAUAACUGUGCGAUAAUUGUAACACAAACGAGUGAAACAAGUACGUAAGUAUGGCAUAAUGAACAAAUAACACUGAUUGUAAAGGUUAUUGAUAACGAAUAAAAGUUACGCUAGGGAUAACAGGGUAAUAUAACGAAAGAGUAGAUAUUGUAAGUUAUGUUUGCCACCUCGAUGUCGACUCAACAUUUCCUCUUGGUUGUAAAAGCUAAGAAGGGUUUGACUGUUCGUCAAUUAAAAUGUUACGUGAGUUGGGUUAAAUACGAUGUGAAUCAGUAUGGUUCCUAUCUGCUGAAGGAAAUAUUAUCAAAUUAAAUCUCAUUAUUAGUACGCAAGGACCAUAAUGAAUCAACCCAUGGUGUAUCUAUUGAUAAUAAUAUAAUAUAUUUAAUAAAAAUAAUACUUUAUUAAUAUAUUAUCUAUAUUAGUUUAUAUUUUAAUUAUAUAUUAUCAUAGUAGAUAAGCUAAGUUGAUAAUAAAUAAAUAUUGAAUACAUAUUAAAUAUGAAGUUGUUUUAAUAAGAUAAUUAAUCUGAUAAUUUUAUACUAAAAUUAAUAAUUAUAGGUUUUAUAUAU
This 3190-nucleotide ribosomal RNA is filed under the name Saccharomyces cerevisiae (brewer's yeast). Its description in RNAcentral is "bacterial LSU rRNA". It matches the Rfam family "Bacterial large subunit ribosomal RNA". The record is from RNAcentral. Lineage: Eukaryota; Fungi; Ascomycota; Saccharomycetes; Saccharomycetales; Saccharomycetaceae.